GCCCCGUGAACAUCCCGGACCCCGUGAUCCGCGCCAUGAACCGGCAGAACGAGGACUACCGCUCGCCGGCGGUGCCGGCGCUGACCAAGGUCCUGCUGGAGGACGUGAAGAAGAUCUUCAAGACCACGACGGGCACGCCCUUGAUGAUCCCGACGACGGGGACGGGCGCGUGGGAGAGCGCGCUGAUCAACACGCUGUCCUCGGGCGACAGGGUCGUGUCCUUCCUCAUCGGGCAGUUCAGCCUGCUGUGGAUCGACCAGCAGCGGCGCCUGGGCUUCGACGUGGACGCGGUGGAGAGCGAGUGGGGCCAGGGCGCCGACCUGGCCGCGCUGGAGCGCAGGCUCCGCGACGACGCGCCGCGGCACGCCAUCAAGGCCGUGGCCAUCGUGCACAACGAGACGGCCACGGGCGUCACCAACGACCUGGCCGCCGUGCGCGCGCUGCUGGACAAGCACGCGCACCCGGCGCUGCUGCUGGUGGACGGCGUGUCGUCCAUCUGCGCGCUGGACUUCCGCAUGGACGAGUGGGGCGUGGACGUGGCGCUCACGGGCUCGCAGAAGGCGCUGUCGAUGCCGACAGGGAUGGGCAUCGUGUGCGCCAGCCCCAGGGCGCUGGAGGCCAGCAAGACGGCCAGGUCCGUGCGCGUCUUCUUCGACUGGAAGGACUAACUCAGGUUCUACGACAUGGGCACGUACUGGCCCUACACGCCCUCCAUCCAGCUCCUCUACGGCCUCCGCACCGCGCUCGACCUCAUCUUCGAGGAAGGGCUGGACAACGUCGUGAGGAGGCACAACCGCCUUGGGACAGCCACCAGGCUCGCCGUCGAGGCGUGGGGGCUAAGCAACUGCUGCCAGAAGGAGGAGUGGUUCAGCGACAUCGUCACCGCCGUCGUCGUGCCGCCCAACAUCGACAGCGCCGAGGUCGUCAGGCACGCGUGGAAGCGGUACAACCUCAGCCUCGGCCUCGGCCUCAACAAGGUCGCCGGGAAGGUCUUCAGGAUCGGCCAUCUCGGCAACCUCAACGAGCUGCAACUGCUGGGAUGUCUGAGCGGUGUGGAGAUGGUGCUCAAGGAUGUGGGGUACCCAGUGAAACUAGGUAGCGGCGUGGCGGCCGCGGCGGCGUACCUGUCAAACUCCACGCCGCUCAUCCCAUCUAGGAUCUGAGAACAGUGUAAGGGGAUGAUAUCGCAAACAAGGCAGACGAACGAACAAAGCGUGCAGACAUCUCCGCUUCUGCUGCCUCGUAGAGCAGCUUAUUGCCUGCAGUAACAAACUAUCUCAGAAUGUAAAGUUAAAUUUCACACCCAGUUGUUGCUACAUAGUAGUAUAGUUUUAUGAAUUACAGGUUUGAUUAAACUUCAAAUUAAUCUACAUGUAUAGCCCUG
Molecule: unclassified non-coding RNA, 1384 nt
Filed under: Zea mays
Lineage: Eukaryota; Viridiplantae; Streptophyta; Magnoliopsida; Poales; Poaceae
Description: misc RNA Zm00001eb034450
Source: RNAcentral